RNAcentral lists this ribosomal RNA (433 nucleotides) under uncultured bacterium. RNAcentral's name for it is "partial 16S ribosomal RNA". It matches the Rfam family "Bacterial small subunit ribosomal RNA", at positions 29 to 507 of the family's 1533-position model. The record is from RNAcentral.
GCGCACGCUGGCGGCAGGCCUCACACAUGCAAGUCGCACGCACCUUUCGGGGUUAGUGGCGGACGGGUGAGUAACACGUGGGAACGUGCCUUUAGGUUCGGAAUAACUCAGGGAAACUUGUGCUAAUACCGAAUGUGCCCUUCGGGGGAAAGAUUAAUCGCCUUUAGAGCGGCCCGCGUCUGAUUAGCUAGUUGGUUGAGGUAAUGGCUCACCAAGGCGACGAUCAGUAGCUGGUCUGAGAGGAUGAUCAGCCACAUUGGGACUGAGACACGGCCCAAACUCCUACGGGAGGCAGCAGUGGGGAAUCUUGCGCAAUGGGCGAAAGCCUGACGCAGCCAUGCCGCGUGAAUGAUGAAGGUCUUAGGAUUGUAAAAUUCUUUCACCGGGGACGAUAAUGACGGUACCCGGAGAAGAAGCCCCGGCUAACUUCGUG